This is a non-coding RNA of Acanthosepion pharaonis, 98 nucleotides long. NCBI's taxonomy places the organism in Eukaryota, Metazoa, Mollusca, Cephalopoda, Sepiida, Sepiidae. The record is from the annotation of a GenBank genome assembly.
UUACGGCCACACCACCUUGAAACACCUGUUCCCGUACGAUCACCGUAGUUAAGCAACGUCGAGCCUGACAAGAUGGGUGACCGUUUGGGAAUUCAACG